UUGCUAAAUGAGCACACAGUAUUGCCUA
RNAcentral lists this non-coding RNA (28 nucleotides) under Homo sapiens (human). The record is from RNAcentral. Lineage: Eukaryota; Metazoa; Chordata; Mammalia; Primates; Hominidae.